UCCGUAGGUGAACCUGCGGAAGGAUCAUCACAAAACGAAAGUAUUAAAAUGUGGGGGGUGGGUUGGAUUGAAAAAACUGGUUAAGGCGGGCUUUGCGUCCCUUCUCUUUGGUUAAAGAGAGGGGAACGAGUUCACACCUCCUGUUUCGGAAAAGACCCCCUCGAGGAAAUGAGAGAGAUGACGAAGCCACAGGUGGCAAUUUCGCCGCCGCUCGUGCCGGAUGGCGGGUGAACAACCCGGCUACCGGCGCUGCUCUUUUCCUGUGCUCUUGUGGAUUUCCACUUUUUACUAUUUUUCUUCUGAUGCGCUAAGGGUGCUUUGUGCACCCGACAGGAAAUGCGGAUAACUUUUAACAAUGGAUCUCUUGGCUCUCGCAUCGAUGAAGGACGCAGCGAAAUGCGAUAGGUAGUGUGAAUUGCAGAAUUCAGUGAAUCAUCGAAUCUUUGAACGCACAUUGCGCCCUCUGGUUAUCCCAGAGGGCACUCUUGUUUGAAGCCCCGGAAAGGACGGUCGCUCUGCGGCCAGGUUGCUGGACGUGCAAAAGUUUGGGGUCAUUCCGGAACAGCGUUUGAGGCCUUCCUCCGCAUCCAAGUCUGACAAACCCGAGCAGCUCCCGGGAGAAGGGUCCGCGAGGGAAUAUGCGGUUUCCCGCGUUUUUUUCGCGUCUGAACGUGUGUGCUUCCGUUCACAUGAUCCCCCCGGUGAUUCCAGGCCCAACAGGCACGCCGUCGUAAUGAGCAUCGACGGUGUACAUUGGUAUUAUAUGUAUCAAGUCGAACGACAAUACAUAUAAUAUUAAUGUAUAUAACUAUUUACGUGUUCUCAUGCGGCCCGGUCGUCCCAAAUGUAUCCCUUUACGUCGCCGGUGAAUAACCCUCCGUCUGUUACCUCUUUCUGUUGCUUUUCUGCGCGUUUGGUGCUUUCGUUAGGGUGUACUAUAUGUGCUUUUUAGUAUAUAGAAGGUUGGUGUCGCUUUGCAGUUUCUUAGGUAGUUGGAGAUUUCAGAACGACCGGGAGCGGAAGUAGCCACAUGGCAAAAAAUGACGUUCAGGCCAAUUUUAUUUUCACCAGAAUGGAAGGGGGUUUCAAAUCAAGAGGGAUUACCCGCUGAACUUAAGCAUAUCAAUAAGCGGAGGA
RNAcentral lists this ribosomal RNA (1137 nucleotides) under Olpidium bornovanus. RNAcentral's name for it is "eukaryotic LSU rRNA". The stretch from base 345 to 498 matches the Rfam family "5.8S ribosomal RNA". Lineage: Eukaryota; Fungi; Olpidiomycota; Olpidiomycetes; Olpidiales; Olpidiaceae. The record is from RNAcentral.